This 379-nucleotide unclassified non-coding RNA is filed under the name uncultured Oligoflexales bacterium. RNAcentral describes it as "contains 16S-23S intergenic spacer region". The record is from RNAcentral. Lineage: Bacteria; Pseudomonadati; Bdellovibrionota; Oligoflexia; Oligoflexales.
UCCGUGUUCACCACGGCAGUCUCCUUAGAGUGCCCAACUGAAUGCUGGCAACUAAGGACAAGGGUUGCGCUCGUUGCGGGACUUAACCCAACAUGUCACCACACGAGCUGACGACAGCCAUGCAGCACCUGUCUCUCUGCUUACUUGCGUAAGAAGCCCUAUCUCUAGGGAUGUCAGAGGAUGUCAAAUCCAGGUAAGGUUCUUCGCGUUGCUUCGAAUUAAACCACAUGAUCCACCGCUUGUGCGGGCCCCCGUCAAUUCCUUUGAGUUUUAGUCUUGCGACCGUACUUCCCAGGCGGGGUACUUAUUGCGUUAGCUCCGGUUCAGCAGGGGUCAAGACCCGCCAAACCUAGUACCCAUCGUUUACAGCGUGGACUAC